CUGUGCUAUGUGGGGAGUUAGCGGUGCCCUGAACUUGCAAUCCGCUUUAGCAAGGCAGAAUAUCUUUCCCGGGAAUUCAAGGGUGAACAGAGGGCACAGAUUUUGUGUUGAAGUUAGGGUCUCGUGCAAUGAAAGGCUGUGAACCAUGUCAGGUUCGGAAGGAAGCAGCAUUAAGCAGUUUUUUUCAUGUGCCAUGAGGGUGCUUUAAUGGAGCAGAAUCUGCGUUAGGUCAUUCAUGUUUGGUUCUCAAAAAAGAGUGCACAG
Molecule: signal recognition particle RNA, 264 nt
Filed under: Clostridia bacterium
Lineage: Bacteria; Bacillati; Bacillota; Clostridia
Description: signal recognition particle sRNA large type
Rfam family: Bacterial large signal recognition particle RNA
About the family: The signal recognition particle (SRP) is a universally conserved ribonucleoprotein involved in the co-translational targeting of proteins to membranes. Archaeal SRP consists of a 7S RNA and homologues of the eukaryotic SRP19 and SRP54 proteins.
Source: RNAcentral